This 615-nucleotide ribosomal RNA is filed under the name Triticum aestivum (bread wheat). RNAcentral describes it as "partial small subunit ribosomal RNA". The record is from RNAcentral. Lineage: Eukaryota; Viridiplantae; Streptophyta; Magnoliopsida; Poales; Poaceae.
AUGAAGGGGAUCGCCGAUGAGUUUGCAGCCGCCGGGAGGCACCUGGAUGAAGAUGAUGUUGUCGCCCACAUCAUCCAGGGCCUCAUGCACGAGCCAGAGUACAGCGGUUUCGUCUCCGCCGUCUCCACGCACACCAUCACUGACCAGGCUAUUGGCCUUGGCGAGUUGUUCUCACUGCUGAAUCACGCAUCAUCGCGCAGGCCUCCGCCUACUCCGCCAACCUUGCUGCAAAGGGCGGAGGCCACGACAACUCUAGACGUUCUGGGAACGGCAAUGGAGGCGGCAACAAUAGCUCCCGUGGCUACAACAUCAACAACACGGGCGCCCGCUUCUUCGACAACAGUUCUGGUGGCGGCAGUUCUGGUGGAGCUCACUGUCAGGGUGGUGACCGCGAUGACCAUGGUGACCGCGAGAAGUGUCAAAUCUGCAAGUUUGAAGGGCAUGGAGCGUGGCGCUGCAAGAAGCACUACGAUAGCAACUACAACAACAACGAGCGCAAUCCCACGGGUGGUGGAGGUGGUGGUGGUGGUGGUGGAAACCGAUCUGCCAACGCCGUCCACCCCCAUGGAGUUGAUACCAACUCGUAUCUUGACACCGGUGCAACAAAUCAUGUGA